RNAcentral lists this ribosomal RNA (253 nucleotides) under uncultured bacterium. RNAcentral describes it as "partial 16S ribosomal RNA". It matches the Rfam family "Bacterial small subunit ribosomal RNA", at positions 524 to 776 of the family's 1533-position model. The record is from RNAcentral.
UACGGAGGGUGCAAACGUUGCUCGGAAUCAUUGGGCGUAAAGCGCACGUAGGCGGUCCGGCAAGUCGGGUGUGAAAGCCCUCGGCUCAACCGAGGAAGUGCAUUCGAAACUAUCGGACUUGAGUACUGAAGAGGAUGGCGGAAUUCCCGGUGUAGAGGUGAAAUUCGUAGAUAUCGGGAGGAACACCAGCGGCGAAGGCGGCCAUCUGGGCAGAUACUGACGCUGAGGUGCGAAAGCGUGGGGAGCAAACAGG